This 557-nucleotide ribosomal RNA is filed under the name Dicrateria sp. RCC470. RNAcentral's name for it is "SSU rRNA". It matches the Rfam family "Eukaryotic small subunit ribosomal RNA", at positions 613 to 1171 of the family's 1831-position model. The record is from RNAcentral. Lineage: Eukaryota; Haptophyta; Isochrysidales; Isochrysidaceae.
UUGCAGUUUAAAACGCUCGUAGUCGGAUUUCGGGGCGGCUUCGUCGGUCUGCCGAUGGGUAUGCACUGACGCGGGCGUCCUUCCUUCCGGAGACGCGUCCUACUCUUAGCUGAGCGGGGCGUGGAGACGGAUCGUUUACUUUGAAAAAAUCAGAGUGUUUCAAGCAGGCACCAUCGCUCUUGCAUGGAUUAGCAUGGGAUAAUGAAAUAGGACCUUGGUGCUAUUUUGUUGGUUUCGAGCACCGAAGUAAUGAUUAACAGGGACAGUCAGGGGCACUCGUAUUCCGCCGAGAGAGGUGAAAUUCUCAGACCAGCGGAAGACGAACCACUGCGAAAGCAUUUGCCAGGGAUGUUUUCACUGAUCAAGAACGAUAGUUAGGGGAUCGAAGACGAUCAGAUACCGUCNUANUCUUAACCAUAAACCAUGCCGACUAGGGAUUGGAGGAAUGUCCACUUUUGACUUCUUCAGCACCUUACGGGGAAACUAAAGUCUUUGGGUUCCGGGGGGAAGUAUGGGCGCNAGGCUGAAACUUAAAGGAUUUGACGGAAGGCACCCCC